UGCGUAGGCGGGGCAAUUAGUCAGUGGUGAAAUCCUGCGGCUUAACCGUAGAACUGCCAUUGAUACUGUUGUCCUUGAGUAUAGUUGAGGUGGGCGGAAUGUGUAAUGUAGCGGUGAAAUGCAUAGAGAUUACACAGAACACCAAUUGCGAAGGCAGCUCACUAAGCUAUAACUGACGCUGAGGCACGAAAGCGUGGGGAGCGAACAGGAUUAGAUACCCUGGUAGUCC
RNAcentral lists this ribosomal RNA (229 nucleotides) under uncultured bacterium. RNAcentral's name for it is "partial 16S ribosomal RNA". It matches the Rfam family "Bacterial small subunit ribosomal RNA", at positions 568 to 796 of the family's 1533-position model. The record is from RNAcentral.